Molecule: ribosomal RNA, 253 nt
Filed under: uncultured bacterium
Lineage: Bacteria
Description: partial 16S ribosomal RNA
Rfam family: Bacterial small subunit ribosomal RNA
Source: RNAcentral
UACAGAGGGUGCAAGCGUUGUUCGGAAUUAUUGGGCGUAAAGGGCUCGUAGGCGGUCUGUCACGUCGGGAGUGAAAACUCAGGGCUUAACCCUGAGCCUGCUUCCGAUACGGGCAGACUAGAGGUAUGCAGGGGAGAACGGAAUUCCUGGUGUAGCGGUGAAAUGCGCAGAUAUCAGGAAGAACACCAAUGGCGAAGGCAGCUCUCUGGGACGGUACUGACGCUGAGACGCGAAAGCGUGGGGAGCGAACAGG